AGAGUUUGAUCAUGGCUCAGGAUGAACGCUGGCGGCGUGCCUAACACAUGCAAGUCGAACGGAAUCCUUCGGGAUUUAGUGGCGGACGGGUGAGUAACGCGUAAGAAUCUACCUCAAGGACGGGGACAACAGUUGGAAACGACUGCUAAGACCCGAUGUGCCGCAAGGUGAAAUAAUUUAUUGCCUAGAGAAGAGCUUGCGUCUGAUUAGCUAGUUGGCGGGGUAAAAGCCCACCAAGGCGACGAUCAGUAGCUGGUCUGAGAGGAUGAGCAGCCACACUGGGACUGAGACACGGCCCAGACUCCGACGGGAGGGAGCAGUGGGGAAUUUUCCGCAAUGGGCGAAAGCCUGACGGAGCAACGCCGCGUGAGGGAGGAAGGCUCUUGGGUUGUAAACCUCUUUUACUGGGGAAGAAGAACUGACGGUACCCAGCGAAUAAGCAUCGGCUAACUCCGUGCCAGCCGCCGCGGUAAUUC
Molecule: ribosomal RNA, 476 nt
Filed under: uncultured bacterium
Lineage: Bacteria
Description: bacterial SSU rRNA
Rfam family: Bacterial small subunit ribosomal RNA
Source: RNAcentral